Molecule: ribosomal RNA, 513 nt
Filed under: uncultured bacterium
Lineage: Bacteria
Description: bacterial SSU rRNA
Rfam family: Bacterial small subunit ribosomal RNA
Source: RNAcentral
CGCUGGCGGCGUGCCUAAUACAUGCAAGUCAAGCACUCUCGUUUAGAUUGAAGGAGCUUGCUCCUGAUUGAUAAACCAUUUGAUGAGUGGCGGACGGGUGAGUAACACGUGGGUAACCUGCCCUAAAGUGGGGGAUAACAUUUGGAAACAGAUGCUAAUACCGCAUAAAACCUAACACCGCAUGGUGUAGGGUUGAAAAGAUGGUUUCGGCUAUCACUUUAAGAUGGACCCCGCGGUGCAUUAGUUAGUUGGUGAGGUAAAGGCUCACCAAGACCGUGAUGCAUAGCCGACCUGAGAGGGUAAUCGGCCACACUGGGACUGAGACACGGCCCAGACUCCUACGGAGGCAGCAGUAGGGAAUCUUCCACAAUGGACGAAAGUCUGAUGGAGCAACGCCGCGUGAGUGAAGAAGGUUUUCGGAUCGUAAAACUCUGUUGUUGGAGAAGAAUGUAUCUGAUAGUAACUGAUCAGGUAGUGACGGUAUCCAACCAGAAAGCCACGGCUAACUACGUG